RNAcentral lists this ribosomal RNA (611 nucleotides) under uncultured bacterium. RNAcentral's name for it is "bacterial SSU rRNA". It matches the Rfam family "Bacterial small subunit ribosomal RNA", at positions 59 to 652 of the family's 1533-position model. The record is from RNAcentral.
CAGUCGAGGGGCAGCGGGGUAGGAAGCUUGCUUUCUGCCGCCGGCGACCGGCGCAUUGGGUGAGUAACACGUAUGAAACCUGGCCGUGACAGAUGGAUAACCGGGAGAAAUCCCGCCUAAUACAACAUAAUGCCGGGAGGGGACAUCCCCUGCCGGCCAAAGGGGGCGACCCCGGUCACGGAUGGGCAUGCGGCGCAUUAGGUAGUUGGUGGGGCAACGGCCCACCAAGCCGACGAUGCGUAGGGGUUCUGAGAGGAAGGUCCCCCACAUUGGAACUGAGACACGGUCCAAACUCCUACGGGAGGCAGCAGUGAGGAAUAUUGGUCAAUGGCCGGAAGGCUGAACCAGCCAAGUCGCGCGAGGGAAUAAGGCCCUACGGGUCGUAAACCUCUUUUGCCAGGGAGCAAUGCCGUCCACGUGUGGACGGAAGGAGAGUACCUGGAGAAAAAGCAUCGGCUAACUCCGUGCCAGCAGCCGCGGUAAUACGGAGGAUGCGAGCGUUAUCCGGAUUUAUUGGGUUUAAAGGGUGCGUAGGCGGCCUGCCAAGUCAGCGGUAAAAUUGCGGGGCUCAACCCCGUACAGCCGUUGAAACUGCCGGGCUCGAGUGGGCG